UGAGCUGAGCUGAGCUGAGCUGAGCUGAGCUGAGCUGAGCUGAGCUGAGCUGAGCUGAGCUGAGCUGAGCUGAGCUGAGCUGAGCUGAGCUGAGCCUCUC
This 100-nucleotide microRNA precursor is filed under the name Mus caroli (Ryukyu mouse). Its description in RNAcentral is "miRNA (MGP_CAROLIEiJ_G0007502.1)". The record is from RNAcentral. Lineage: Eukaryota; Metazoa; Chordata; Mammalia; Rodentia; Muridae.